RNAcentral lists this ribosomal RNA (274 nucleotides) under uncultured bacterium. Its description in RNAcentral is "partial 16S ribosomal RNA". It matches the Rfam family "Archaeal small subunit ribosomal RNA", at positions 473 to 747 of the family's 1478-position model. The record is from RNAcentral.
AAACCAGCACCUCAAGUGGUCAGGAUGAUUAUUGGGCCUAAAGCAUCCGUAGCCGGCUCUGUAAGUUUUCGGUUAAAUCUGUACGCUCAACGUACAGGCUGCCGGAAAUACUGCAGAGCUAGGGAGUGGGAGAGGUAGACGGUACUCGGGAGGAAGUGGUAAAAUGCUUUGAUCUCUCGAUGACCACCUGUGGCGAAGGCGGUCUACCAGAACACGUCCGACGGUGAGGGAUGAAAGCUGGGGGAGCAAACCGGAUUAGAUACCCGAGUAGUCC